Molecule: ribosomal RNA, 668 nt
Filed under: Bacillus thuringiensis
Lineage: Bacteria; Bacillati; Bacillota; Bacilli; Caryophanales; Bacillaceae
Description: bacterial SSU rRNA
Rfam family: Bacterial small subunit ribosomal RNA
Source: RNAcentral
UCGAGCGAAUGGAUUGAGAGCUUGCUCUCAAGAAGUUAGCGGCGGACGGGUGAGUAACACGUGGGUAACCUGCCCAUAAGACUGGGAUAACUCCGGGAAACCGGGGCUAAUACCGGAUAAUAUUUUGAACUGCAUGGUUCGAAAUUGAAAGGCGGCUUCGGCUGUCACUUAUGGAUGGACCCGCGUCGCAUUAGCUAGUUGGUGAGGUAACGGCUCACCAAGGCAACGAUGCGUAGCCGACCUGAGAGGGUGAUCGGCCACACUGGGACUGAGACACGGCCCAGACUCCUACGGGAGGCAGCAGUAGGGAAUCUUCCGCAAUGGACGAAAGUCUGACGGAGCAACGCCGCGUGAGUGAUGAAGGCUUUCGGGUCGUAAAACUCUGUUGUUAGGGAAGAACAAGUGCUAGUUGAAUAAGCUGGCACCUUGACGGUACCUAACCAGAAAGCCACGGCUAACUACGUGCCAGCAGCCGCGGUAAUACGUAGGUGGCAAGCGUUAUCCGGAAUUAUUGGGCGUAAAGCGCGCGCAGGUGGUUUCUUAAGUCUGAUGUGAAAGCCCACGGCUCAACCGUGGAGGGUCAUUGGAAACUGGGAGACUUGAGUGCAGAAGAGGAAAGUGGAAUUCCAUGUGUAGCGGUGAAAUGCGUAGAGAUAUGGAGGAACACC